Molecule: ribosomal RNA, 288 nt
Filed under: uncultured bacterium
Lineage: Bacteria
Description: partial 16S ribosomal RNA
Rfam family: Bacterial small subunit ribosomal RNA
Source: RNAcentral
GUGGAUUAGAUACCCUGGUAGUCCAUGCCGUAAACGUUGGGCGCUAGAUGUAGGGACCUUUCCACGGUUUCUGUGUCGUAGCUAACGCAUUAAGCGCCCCGCCUGGGGAGUACGGCCGCAAGGCUAAAACUCAAAGGAAUUGACGGGGGCCCGCACAAGCGGCGGAGCAUGCGGAUUAAUUCGAUGCAACGCGAAGAACCUUACCAAGGCUUGACAUACACCGGAAACGGCCAGAGAUGGUCGCCCCCUUGUGGUCGGUGUACAGGUGGUGCAUGGUCGUCACCAACU